AUUGAACGCUGGCGGCAGGCCUAACACAUGCAAGUCGAGCGCGAAAGUCUUCGGAUGAGUAAAGCGGCGGACGGGUGAGUAAUGCAUGGGAAUCUGCCUGGUAGUGGGGGACAACGUUUCGAAAGAGACGCUAAUACCGCAUACGCCCUACGGGGGAAAGGGGGGGGAUCUUCGGACCUCUCGCUAUCAGAUGAGCCCAUGUCAGAUUAGCUAGUUGGUAGGGUAAAGGCCUACCAAGGCGACGAUCUGUAACUGGUCUGAGAGGAUGAUCAGUCACACUGGAACUGAGACACGGUCCAGACUCCUACGGGAGGCAGCAGUGGGGAAUAUUGGACAAUGGGGGCAACCCUGAUCCAGCCAUGCCGCGUGUGUGAAGAAGGCCCUAGGGUUGUAAAGCACUUUCAGUGGGGAGAAAGGUUGUUCAGUUAAUACCUGAAUGAAUUGAUGUUACCCACAGAAGAAGCACCGGCUAACUCCGUGCCAGCCGCCGCUGUAA
Molecule: ribosomal RNA, 496 nt
Filed under: uncultured bacterium
Lineage: Bacteria
Description: partial 16S ribosomal RNA
Rfam family: Bacterial small subunit ribosomal RNA
Source: RNAcentral